CUUCAGGGCUCCGAGCAGCAUCGGCCGGUCCUCCGCGGAGCGCUCCUGGCCGUACGUCGCCAUCAGCGCCUGCGCUUC
This 78-nucleotide antisense RNA is filed under the name Streptomyces sp. MMG1121. RNAcentral describes it as "ASpks TB sRNA". It matches the Rfam family "ASpks TB sRNA". Lineage: Bacteria; Bacillati; Actinomycetota; Actinomycetes; Kitasatosporales; Streptomycetaceae. The record is from Rfam by way of RNAcentral.